Molecule: microRNA, 22 nt
Filed under: Drosophila melanogaster (fruit fly)
Lineage: Eukaryota; Metazoa; Arthropoda; Insecta; Diptera; Drosophilidae
Description: dme-miR-9371-5p
Source: miRBase by way of RNAcentral
AAAUCACUUUGCUUGGAAUUCA